Long non-coding RNA from Bombus impatiens (common eastern bumble bee), 103 nucleotides. RefSeq lists it as uncharacterized. The record is from RefSeq and is a predicted model, not a curated record. NCBI's taxonomy places the organism in Eukaryota, Metazoa, Arthropoda, Insecta, Hymenoptera, Apidae. The transcript is spliced from 3 exons.
AGAUAAAUGUACCAAGGCGUGUUAGGUAGAUGAUACAUUUACACUGUACAUGUGAAUGUGUGUGUAAGCGUCAGAGGACGUCCAGGUCUUAGUUGAGACAAAA